RNAcentral lists this non-coding RNA (24 nucleotides) under Cricetulus griseus (Chinese hamster). The record is from RNAcentral. Lineage: Eukaryota; Metazoa; Chordata; Mammalia; Rodentia; Cricetidae.
UAAUUAUUAUAGACACUGCAUAGA